AAGUCGUAAUAAGGUUUCCGAAACUCAAGUUCGGGGCUGCUACCUAGUAGUAGAUCCUUCCACAUCACUUGCUGAAGCCUUAGCAGCCUGAAAGGGUACGAUCCCCACGACUAUAAAAUCGAGGAUUGCUUAAAUGCUAGUCCACCUUAGCGUGGGCAACACUAUCAAAUUGCGGGGACACCCUAAAGACCUCAACACCAAGCGUCCACCGGAAACGGGGGGCGUGGCCCGAGCUAAUAGCCCCUGGGGUAUGGUAACAGCUUUGAGGUAUGAAGCCCUUCGGGGUGGAAAUGGGCAAUCCGCAGCCAAGUCCUAACGCACCAUGGUGCUACGGAUGCCGUUCACAGGCCAAAUGGUAGUGGGUGGCUGCGUUAGCAGCUGCUUAAGAUAUGGUCGGGCCUUUGCAGAGAUGCGAAGGAGAAAACCGUUCCGUAGGUGAACCUGCGGAAGGAUCAUUAAGGAGUACUAAUCGGAUGCCUUCGGGCUCUGACUCCCCACCCUUUGCUUACCAUCCCCCCAAUACUUCGGCGGGCGACGGCGAGUCCACAAGGCUCUCCGUCCCCGUCGGCAUUACAAAACCUCAAGCUUUAACAGUGUCGUCUGAGCAUUUGCAAGCAAAAUAAUAAAA
Molecule: unclassified non-coding RNA, 628 nt
Filed under: plant metagenome
Description: partial contains small subunit ribosomal RNA and internal transcribed spacer 1
Rfam family: Group I catalytic intron (bases 100-417)
About the family: Group I catalytic introns are large self-splicing ribozymes. They catalyse their own excision from mRNA, tRNA and rRNA precursors in a wide range of organisms.
Source: RNAcentral